AAGAACCAAUGCAAGCAAGCUCUCACGGCAAACCUUCCGUAGUACCGUUAGGAUAUGUCAAUGGCUAUAGGUCAUAACUAAGUAGCUACCGACCGUUCCGGCGCGCCCUUGACCUAUCUUGAUUAAGACCGAAAACCUAUCUAAAGUGGGGCCUAGUUUAAGCUGUCAAACAAAUGAUAGAAUGGAAAAUAAAGAAUAACCACUAGUAGGGAUAUGGGUGGAGUCUCGCUCAGUAAAGAGAGUU
Molecule: long non-coding RNA, 244 nt
Filed under: Panax ginseng (ginseng)
Lineage: Eukaryota; Viridiplantae; Streptophyta; Magnoliopsida; Apiales; Araliaceae
Description: long non-coding RNA (PGIN_LNC015516)
Source: RNAcentral